RNAcentral lists this transfer RNA (65 nucleotides) under Bombylius sp. Its description in RNAcentral is "tRNA-Leu". The record is from RNAcentral. Lineage: Eukaryota; Metazoa; Arthropoda; Insecta; Diptera; Bombyliidae.
ACUAUUUUGGCAGACUAGUGCAGUAAAUUUAGAAUUUACAUAUGUAAUUUAUAUUACAAAUAGUA